UGAACGCUGGCGGUAGGCCUAACACAUGCAAGUCGAACGGCAGCACAGUAAGAGCUUGCUCUUACGGGUGGCGAGUGGCGGACGGGUGAGGAAUACAUCGGAAUCUACUUUUUCGUGGGGGAUAACGUAGGGAAACUUACGCUAAUACCGCAUACGACCUACGGGUGAAAGCAGGGGAUCUUCGGACCUUGCGCGAUUGAAUGAGCCGAUGUCGGAUUAGCUAGUUGGCGGGGUAAAGGCCCACCAAGGCGACGAUCCGUAGCUGGUCUGAGAGGAUGAUCAGCCACACUGGAACUGAGACACGGUCCAGACUCCUACGGGAGGCAGCAGUGGGGAACAUUGGACAAUGGGCGCAAGCCUGAUCCAGCCAUACCGCGUGGGUGAAGAAGGCCUUCGGGUUGUAAAGCCCUUUUGUUGGGAAAGAAAAGCAGCAGGUUAAUACCCCGCUGUUCUGACGGUACCCAAAGAAUAAGCACCGGCUAACUUCGUG
Molecule: ribosomal RNA, 490 nt
Filed under: uncultured bacterium
Lineage: Bacteria
Description: partial 16S ribosomal RNA
Rfam family: Bacterial small subunit ribosomal RNA
Source: RNAcentral